RNAcentral lists this non-coding RNA (116 nucleotides) under unclassified sequences. Its description in RNAcentral is "Bacteroidete tryptophan peptide leader RNA". It matches the Rfam family "Bacteroidete tryptophan peptide leader RNA". The record is from RNAcentral.
AUAUAUUUGACAAUAAGAAUAUGAAAACAAUAAAUACAAAUACUUGGUGGUGGAAAACCUUACGUCAAACUUCGUGAGCUAAAGCACUAUUGGUAUAAAUAUACAAAAGGCUUGUC